This 1462-nucleotide ribosomal RNA is filed under the name uncultured Spirochaetota bacterium. RNAcentral describes it as "bacterial SSU rRNA". It matches the Rfam family "Bacterial small subunit ribosomal RNA". The record is from RNAcentral. Lineage: Bacteria; Pseudomonadati; Spirochaetota.
AACGAACGCUGGCGGCGCGUCUUAAGCAUGCAAGUCGAGCGAGAUUGGGGGCUUGCCCCCAUGAAAGCGGCGGACUGGUGAGUAACGCGUGGGUGAUCUGCCUUCGGGCCGGGGAUAGCCGUUAGAAAUAGCGGGUAAUACCGGAUACGUCUGCCGAACUAUGGUUUGGUAAAGAAAGGGGCUACGGCCCCGCCCGAAGAUGAGCCCGCGUCCCAUUAGCUUGUUGGCGGGGUAAAAGCCCACCAAGGCACAGAUGGGUAGCCGGCCUGAGAGGGUGAACGGCCACAUUGGGACUGAGAUACGGCCCAAACUCCUACGGGAGGCAGCAGCUAAGAAUAUUCCGCAAUGGACGAAAGUCUGACGGAGCGACGCCGCGUGGAUGAGGAAGGCCGAAAGGUUGUAAAGUCCUUUUGCGGAUGAAGAAUAAGUACGAUAGGGAAUGAUCGUAUGAUGACGUUAGUCCGUGAAUAAGCCCCGGCUAAUUACGUGCCAGCAGCCGCGGUAACACGUAAGGGGCAAGCGUUGUUCGGAAUUAUUGGGCGUAAAGGGCGCGUAGGCGGCCCUGUAAGUCUGGUGUGAAAUCCCCGGGCCCAACCCGGGAACCGCACUGGAAACUGCGGGGCUUGAGUCACGGAGGCGAGGCCGGAAUUCCUGGUGUAGGGGUGAAAUCUGUAGAUAUCAGGAAGAACACCGGUGGCGAAGGCGGGCUUCGAGCCGAUGACUGACGCUGAGGCGCGCAAGUGCGGGGAGCAAAGCAGGAUUAGAUACCCUGGUAGUCCGCACUGUAAACUAUGCACACUAGAUGUCGGGCCGCGCGGUUCGGCGUCGCAGCGAACGCGUUAAGUGUGCCGCCUGGGGAGUAUGCCCGCAAGGGUGAAACUCAAAGGAAUUGACGGGGGCCCGCACAAGCGGUGGAGCAUGUGGUUUAAUUCGAUGAUACGCGAGGAACCUUACCUGGGUUUGAUAUGCAGGGGAAAGGCGCCGAGAUGCGCCCCCGUGGAAACACGCCCCUGUGCAGGUGCUGCAUGGCUGUCGUCAGCUCGUGCCGUGAGGUGUUGGGUUAAGUCCCGCAACGAGCGCAACCCCUACUGCCAGUUGCCAUCAUUUAGUUGGGGACUCUGGCGGAACUGCCGGUGACAAACCGGAGGAAGGUGGGGAUGACGUCAAGUCAUCAUGGCCCUUAUGUCCAGGGCUACACACGUGCUACAAUGGACGGUACAGAGCGGAGCGAAGCCGCAAGGCGCAGGCGAAUCGCUAAAAGCCGUCCGUAGUUCGGAUUGAAGUCUGAAACCCGACUUCAUGAAGUUGGAAUCGCUAGUAAUCGCGCAUCAGCAUGGCGCGGUGAAUACGUUCCCGGGCCUUGUACACACCGCCCGUCACACCAUCCGAGUCGGAUAUACCCGAAGCCGGUAGUCUAACCGUAAGGAGGACGCUGUCGAAGGUAAAUUUGGUGAGGAGGGUG